GUACAUAGGCGGCUAGCGGUUCGCAUAAUUGUUGCACAGAUAAAAAAAAGUGAAAAUUUCGAAUUAAAAUAUAAAAUUUAUUUUAUAAUUUUGUGAACUGAUACUUACACUUCCCGUUUUCUUAUUGCCUAAACUAUCGUAAAUAAAUAUUUUUAGAUCAUUUCUCACUAGGUGUAAAAUACCCUAUUAUUUUAAAAUAAUUGAUAAAAAUAAC
Maniola jurtina (meadow brown) is the source of this 214-nucleotide long non-coding RNA. RefSeq lists it as uncharacterized. The transcript is spliced from 4 exons. The record is from RefSeq and is a predicted model, not a curated record. NCBI's taxonomy places the organism in Eukaryota, Metazoa, Arthropoda, Insecta, Lepidoptera, Nymphalidae.